This 103-nucleotide small nuclear RNA is filed under the name Saimiri boliviensis boliviensis (Bolivian squirrel monkey). Lineage: Eukaryota; Metazoa; Chordata; Mammalia; Primates; Cebidae. The record is from RNAcentral.
AUACUUUGGCAGCACAUAUACUAAAAUUGGAAUGAUACAGAGAAGAUUAACAUGGCCCCUGCUCAAGGAUGACACACAAAUUUGUGAAGCGUUCCAUAUUUAA